CAGAAAAUUGACACCCCUAAAAAAAGUAAAAAGAUUAAACGCAUCGUCUAGUGUCUUCUCUGCAAAGGGCGGGGCUCAUUUGGAGCUGGGGACUGGGUCGUAGAGAGAAGGAGCGCCAUCGACGAGGCCCCAUGGAGUUCGUGAUGCAGUCAAUAAGUGAAUCCACUUUCCUGGAGGAGGUAGGAUAGAGCUUUGUGCCGCCCCUGUGCCGGCAGCGGUGACGAGGGGCGAUAUGGUGGCGGAGCAGGAGGUGGUGGAGCAGGAACGGGCGGUGGACAGCAUCGAAGCUCUGAUCUUGGCGGCCAAGGUAGCAGUAGCGGCGAACAGGAGAGGGAGCUUUUCCCCGACGUCGAGCCGUCAACUGGGAAGAUGAAUCCCCGGGCGCCUGGAUGGAAUAAGAGGCUGAUGCAGAGGAGGGAUUUUUUUUUCAAGUUUUGGGGAUUCUCUCUGCUUGAGGAGGUAGGGGAGAGUUUGGUGCCGGCCCUUGUGGCUGUGAAUGGCCUUGCGGUGGUGGAUUUGGAGGUGCCACAGCAGGCGGAGCACAAGGCGGCACAACAUUGGCCAGUGGACAGCAGUGAAGAACAGAUCUUCUCGACGAAGGAGGCAGUGGCCGACAGAAGGGAGAGCUCGCGUCCAACUUUGGAGCUGUCAAUGGGGAAGAUGAAUCCCCAAGCGCCGGGGUGGAAUGAGUGGUUAGUGAAGAGCAACUUGCAUCGCAUCAGAGAAUCAAGGAUUUAGGGAAAUAGAACUAGUCAUGACUUACGAAAUCCUACAAUUAGAGCAAGUGCUGAUUGCUCUCUGCAUUCAUAAAAUUCAUGCUAAAUGUGCCUGUGUUUGCUAGCUGUGACGGUGGUGCAAAGUGGCAUGUGCUGAAGAAAGCAAAGGACUCAUUGAGAGCUCUGUACACUAAAAAGUGUGAGUACAGAGCAGAAUCUCAUAAAGUGGUAAUCCACAUGCUAAUAGUAGAUGAAUUUGAGAGAGGGUGGGAGAUGUUGCUGGAUAAAUACAAAGCUCAGGUCACACCCUUACAUGAUGCAGUUGUUCGAGAUUAGGCAGAAAUGGUAUAAGCCUUACUUUAAGGGCGUGUUCAGCGCCGGAGAUCUCAGGCUAUGCUGGUUUUAGUUUUGGUCUGCAGCUUGUUCAGCGCCGGAGAUUGAUCUGGGCGACGACAUAGCCGGGGGCGAAGAAAUGGAGUUCCUGAUGCAACCAAUUUGUAGGCUUCCCUUUGCGCCUUACACGCUCGGUUCUUUUACGGAGUUUUGUUGGAAAUUUGUGUCAUGAUUCGAUAUUGAGCUAACGGGCAGAUCAGUGCAGGGGAGGAGGUGCCUGUCAUUGAAGCACAGGGUGAAGCGCAAGCAUCCGAGCAGUCUGUUGGUCAAACUGACCCAAAAACUCUAGGAUGGACAAGAAGGUAAUCUCUUGGUCAUGCGUGAUUGGAUACCCGAUGUCAAGCCGUACGUGGAAGUGCUCGAAUUGCAUGUUCAUAAUUGGCUUACAGCUUACUGGAUGACAAUUUAGUUAACGAACCUCUGGAAAAGGAAAAUCUGUGUGCACAGGGUUUGGAUCCUGAUUGAAUGUUAAGUAGGAUGUGGCAGUAUAAAAAUUUGUAGAUAUAUGUCAAAUCAGGUUGCAUGAAUUGGGAAAUGUGAUUUGAGAGCAACACGGGUUCUAGCUUGGGUCUAUGAUAGUGGAAUGUAUUACAUUGGCUAGAGUAUGAUUUUUUUAGUUAAAUUGGAACUUACGGUAUAAGAUAAGAUACAAGAUAAGCUUUGUGAUUUCAGGGAUGAGUGUGUAUAAAGCUUGUACCUUUUAUGGAUUCACGAACAAUUGCUUGCAUCAGAUGGAAUCAUUGGGAAGAACUGAAUCAAUAGAAAGAACACAACAGUGCCUUUGGGUGAGUAUGGAUUGAUGACCAGUGCUUAAACAUUAACUCUUCUCUGGAGGGUGAGGAUUGGUGCUGCUGCUCCUGGCAGGACGCCGUGUCCAGAUUGCACGAGCGCUCUCGAGAAGGAAAUCUGCAGCUUCACAGAGAACCCAGGAGACAUUGUGAUUGUGCAUGCGUUGGGGUACAAGCUUUGAUACAUUGGGCGAGGCUUACGACUUGUACAAGCUGUACUCGUGGGAGAAGGGAUCCGGUAUCAGAUACGAAAUGAGCAAAUGUGGAGAGGACAAAGUGCAUGCAAGAAACCUCUUGUGGCUGUGCGGUAUGUAUUCUUGUAUUUCCUGAACUACAUAUGUCCGUAAUUGAAGCAUGGACAAACAAUUGAGGCUCAUAUGUUCUCGUGGACCAUUGAUUUUGCAGACGGUGAUGUCGUGCUUUCAGGCACAUGUUUAUGUGUGCACUCUGAUGAGUAUUUCCUAGAAAUAAAAGAAAAAAAAUGAUCCAUUUCAUGACUAUGAAUUUACAUGAAGUUUGCGUGGGAUAUGUAGAGCUACCUGAAUUUAUAGUUUGUUAUUACAGGCGACGGGAUAUAAAACAGUUUUGGAAGUGUGCUUGCAUUCUGAAGACUGUAUUGCCAUCAUGAUGGUUGCAUGCUGAAUUUUGAAAUAGAUAUAAGCUGGUUAACUUUGCUUGUUGAUUGGGCCAUGGAAUUGAAUGUUGAAUAUAUAGCAGGGUGGGCGUGUGACAAGUGUGUGCCUUACUGCGCGCCAAGAACCGUGACGAACCACUACGAAUUUCGAAUGGCAAGAGCGGGAGAAAGUGAUGCUGUUUAACAGAACCAGCAGCAGCAGAGCCACUUCUGAACUGUGUGUCCCCAUUUGAUACACUGCUUCCUGAAGGUAGAAGAAGGCUGAAGAAAGGAGCGCAGCAACUGGUAAUGGCUCCUUCCGUGCUAUUCGUCUCUGAAUCUGCCAUUACUAAAGAGGCAAUAACUCGGAUGCAGCUUCCAAGCCGCAAAUAGUAUUUGAAGAGGUAAAUCUAUUCAUAUAGAAAUGUUGAUCUAAGUUGGAUUUGUGGCAACAUUCAAUUAACGGGGUAGCUGGUGUGCAUGGUUCUUAUGGAUCUGAAAGCACGAUUAACCAGGUCGUGCGGUUAGUCACGAGGAGCGAAGGUCCAACAGCGAGGCGCAAUAAAUGGGUUAUCUGCCGCCGUGAGUCCAGAAUCUCUAAUUUCACGGCGCGCUACGUUGGGACAUGUCUGAGUCGGAGAACAUGUGGCUAACAACGUAAUGCGCUAUUCGUUGUUCAGAAGUGGGCCAGUGGGACCGUUCAAAAAGUGAUAUACCGGAGUAAUACCUAAGCCUGUACUUGUCAGGGUGCGAAUCUCGAUGAGAAUAGACGGGGCAGAUAUAGAGUCCAUCUGAGCUCGAGCUUAGAAUAACACUUUUGCUACAAUUGCUCUUUUAUAUUCUUUCACUUUCUUGCC
Molecule: long non-coding RNA, 3367 nt
Organism: Triticum aestivum (bread wheat)
Lineage: Eukaryota; Viridiplantae; Streptophyta; Magnoliopsida; Poales; Poaceae
Exons: 3
Source: RefSeq, a predicted model, not a curated record